UCUAGGUAAAUCUUUGAAACUUCAAUUUUUCAGCUUUCAUUACUCUUUGGUGGAAGAAAAAGGUUAAUGACAUUUUAUGAUGUGAAUAAUGCUAAUUAAUUUUCUUUUUGGGUGUCAUUUAUUGAUUUCUUGGGUUUCUUGUGUUUUAUCAAAGUGGAGAUAGCCUGGUGGCAGAAGAGUAGGGAGGGGGGAUUGUUCUAGCUUCUAGGUGUAUGUUUGGUACAACGUAAUUGAAUGUGAUGUGAUGAAAUGAAUUUUUAAUUUUUUCCUUUGAAAUUUUAAUUUCUAUCCCUUUUGCUCUUGUCCCUUUUUGUUUUGACAAAAUAAAAAGCCCUUGUGGUCUUUUUAAUUCUUAAUCGCAUGGAAGUAUGAUUUCUUCAAAUUUUGUUUUAUUUUUUUGAGAAUUCUAUGUUAUCUGUUUGUUGAUUUACCCUUCUUUGAUUAGUGUAGCGUGAUUUAUUGAUGUAUACUUAUUAUAUUGUAUGGUAUGAUUGUUAUUGUUAAUAUAUUUGGAAAGAUGGAAUGACAUGGUAUGGUUGUUAUUGCUAACAUGGUGG
Molecule: unclassified non-coding RNA, 557 nt
Filed under: Hevea brasiliensis (rubber tree)
Lineage: Eukaryota; Viridiplantae; Streptophyta; Magnoliopsida; Malpighiales; Euphorbiaceae
Source: RNAcentral